AGCGAACGCUGGCGGCAUGCUUAACACAUGCAAGUCGAACGUGAAGGGGACUUCGGUCCCUGGAAAGUGGCGCACGGGUGAGUAACACGUGGAUAAUCUACCCGAUGAUCUGGAAUAACACUUCGAAAGGGGUGCUAAUACCGGAUAAGCUCACGACGUCUUCGGACGACGCGGGAAAAGGGGGCUUCGGCUCCUGUCAUCGGAUGAGUCCGCGGCCCAUUAGCUAGUUGGUAGGGUAAUGGCCUACCAAGGCGACGAGGGGUAGCGGGUCUGAGAGGGUGAGAAGCCACACUGGAACUGAGACACGAUCCAGACUCCUACGGGGGGCAGAAGUGGGGAAUUUUGGGCAAUGGGCGAAAGCCUGACGCAGCAAUGCCGCGUGAGUGAUGAAGGCCUUCGGGUCGUAAAGCUCUGUCAGAGGGGAAGAAACUCCCGUCGGUUAAUACCCGGCGGGCCUGACGGUACCCUCAAAGGAAGCACCGGCUAACUCCGUGCCAGCAGCCGCCGUAA
This 510-nucleotide ribosomal RNA is filed under the name uncultured bacterium. Its description in RNAcentral is "partial 16S ribosomal RNA". It matches the Rfam family "Bacterial small subunit ribosomal RNA", at positions 29 to 523 of the family's 1533-position model. The record is from RNAcentral.